CAGGCCUAACACAUGCAAGUCGAACGAAGGCUUCGGCCUUAGUGGCGCACGGGUGCGUAACGCGUGGGAAUCUGCCCCUUGGUUCGGAAUAACAGUUAGAAAUGACUGCUAAUACCGGAUAAUGACGUAAGUCCAAAGAUUUAUCGCCGAGGGGUGAGCCCGCGUAGGAUUAGCUAGUUGGUGUGGUAAAGGCGCACCAAGGCGACGAUCCUUAGCUGGUCUGAGAGGAUGAUCAGCCACACUGGGACUGAGACACGGCCCAGACUCCUACGGGAGGCAGCAGUGGGGAAUAUUGGACAAUGGGCGAAAGCCUGAUCCAGCAAUGCCGCGUGAGUGAUGAAGGCCUUAGGGUUGUAAAGCUCUUUUACCCGGGAUGAUAAUGACAGUACCGGGAGAAUAAGCCCCGGCUAACUCCGUGCCAGCAGCCGCGGUAAU
This 435-nucleotide ribosomal RNA is filed under the name uncultured bacterium. RNAcentral describes it as "bacterial SSU rRNA". It matches the Rfam family "Bacterial small subunit ribosomal RNA", at positions 43 to 524 of the family's 1533-position model. The record is from RNAcentral.